This 500-nucleotide ribosomal RNA is filed under the name uncultured bacterium. RNAcentral's name for it is "partial 16S ribosomal RNA". It matches the Rfam family "Bacterial small subunit ribosomal RNA", at positions 30 to 523 of the family's 1533-position model. The record is from RNAcentral.
AUUGAACGCUGGCGGCAGGCCUAACACAUGCAAGUCGAGCGGUAGAGAGAAGCUUGCUUCUCUUGAGAGCGGCGGACGGGUGAGUAAUGCCUAGGAAUCUGCCUGGUAGUGGGGGAUAACGUUCGGAAACGGACGCUAAUACCGCAUACGUCCUACGGGAGAAAGCAGGGGACCUUCGGGCCUUGCGCUAUCAGAUGAGCCUAGGUCGGAUUAGCUAGUUGGUGGGGUAAUGGCUCACCAAGGCGACGAUCCGUAACUGGUCUGAGAGGAUGAUCAGUCACACUGGACCUGAGACAAGGUCAAGACUACUACGGGAGGCAGCAGUGGGGAAUAUUGGACAAUGGGCGAAAGCCUGAUCCAGCCAUGCCGCGUGUGUGAAGAAGGUCUUCGGAUUGUAAAGCACUUUAAGUUGGGAGGAAGGGCAGUAAAUUAAUACUUUGCUGUUUUGACGUUACCGACAGAAUAAGCACCGGCUAACUCUGUGCCAGCCGCCGCCGUAA